AUGGUGGGGGAGGCUCUAUUGACUUCAUGUCAUGUCCUGAAUAGAGUUCCCAACAAUAAUAAAGAGAAAACCCCUUAUGAGGAGUGGGUUGGGAGAAAACCAUCACUUUCUUAUUUGCGCACUUGGGGAUGUUUGGCAAAGGUCAAUAUUCCUAUUCCUAAGAAACGCAAACUUGGACCAAAGACAGUGGAUUGUGUCUUUCUAGGGUAUGCUCAACGGAGCAUUGCUUAUAGGUUUUUAGUGGUAAAAUCUGAAGUACCUAAUAUGCAUGUUGAUACUAUAAUGGAAUCUCGUGAUGCAACAUUUUUUGAGAACAUAUUUCCUAUGAAAGAUAUGCAUAGCAUUGCUAGAUUUUCUUCUGAGAUAAUUCCUGAAUCUAGUACAACUGAUGAAUAUUUCGAACAAUCACAUGAGGAAGUCCUUGAGAAGGAUAACAAUGAAGUUCCUAGAAGGAACAAGAGACAAAGGAUUGCAAAAUCAUUUGGUGAUGAUUUCAUUGUAUACCUUGUGGACGACACACCCAAGACGAUUGCAGAAGCAUAUGCAUCUCCGGAUGUAGAUGAUUGGAAAGAAGCUGGUCAUAAUGAGAUGGAAUCAAUUCUUUCUAAUGGAACUUGGGAACUAACUGAUAGACCAUAUGGUUGUAAACCUGUGGGCUGUAAGUGGGUGUUCAAAAAGAAGCUAAAGCCUGAUGGUACUAUUGAUAAGUACAAGGCGCGGCUAGUGGCCAAGGGCUACACUCAGAAAGAAGGCGAAGAUUACUUUGACACCUAUUCACCCGUUGCUAGAAUGACCACCAUUCGAGUGUUACUUUCCUUGGCUGCCUCUUAUGGUCUUAUCAUUCAUCAAAUGGAUGUAAAGACAGCUUUUCUCAAUGGAGAGUUGGAAGAGGAGAUCUAUAUGGAUCAGCCUGACGGGUUUGUGGUAAAGGGUGAAGAGAGAAAGGUGUGCAAGUUGUUAAAAUCUUUGUAUGGUCUGAAACAGGCACCUAAGCAAUGGCAUGAGAAGUUUGAAAGAACUCUGACUUCUGCAGGAUUUGUCAUUAACGAGGCUGAUAGGUGUGUUUACUAUCGCCAUGGUGGGGGGCAAUAG
This 1092-nucleotide ribosomal RNA is filed under the name Triticum aestivum (bread wheat). RNAcentral describes it as "partial small subunit ribosomal RNA". Lineage: Eukaryota; Viridiplantae; Streptophyta; Magnoliopsida; Poales; Poaceae. The record is from RNAcentral.